This 436-nucleotide ribosomal RNA is filed under the name uncultured bacterium. RNAcentral's name for it is "partial 16S ribosomal RNA". It matches the Rfam family "Bacterial small subunit ribosomal RNA", at positions 29 to 506 of the family's 1533-position model. The record is from RNAcentral.
AGCGAACGCUGGCGGCAGGCUUAACACAUGCAAGUCGAGCGGGCAUCCUUGUGGUGUCAGCGGCAGACGGGUGAGUAACGCGUGGGAACGUGCCCUUCGGUUCGGAAUAACUCAGGGAAACUUGAGCUAAUACCGGAUACGUGCGAGAGCAGAAAGGUUUAUCUGCCGAAGGAUCGGCCCGCGUCUGAUUAGCUAGUUGGUGAGGUUAUGGCUCACCAAGGCGACGAUCAGUAGCUGGUCUGAGAGGAUGAUCAGCCACACUGGGACUGAGACACGGCCCAGACUCCUACGGGAGGCAGCAGUGGGGAAUAUUGGACAAUGGGGGCAACCCUGAUCCAGCCAUGCCGCGUGAGUGAUGACGGCCUUAGGGUUGUAAAGCUCUUUUCUCCGGGACGAUAAUGACGGUACCGGAGGAAUAAACCCCGGCGAACUUCGU